RNAcentral lists this ribosomal RNA (467 nucleotides) under uncultured bacterium. RNAcentral describes it as "partial 16S ribosomal RNA". It matches the Rfam family "Bacterial small subunit ribosomal RNA", at positions 28 to 506 of the family's 1533-position model. The record is from RNAcentral.
GACGAACGCUGGCGGCGUGCUUAACACAUGCAAGUCGAACGGAAAGGCCCUGCUUUUGUGGGGUGCUCGAGUGGCGAACGGGUGAGUAACACGUGAGUAACCUGCCCUUGACUUUGGGAUAACUUCAGGAAACUGGGGCUAAUACCGGAUAGGAGCUCCUGCUGCAUGGUGGGGGUUGGAAAGUUUCGGCGGUUGGGGAUGGACUCGCGGCUUAUCAGCUUGUUGGUGGGGUAGUGGCUUACCAAGGCUUUGACGGGUAGCCGGCCUGAGAGGGUGACCGGCCACAUUGGGAAUGAGAUACGGCCCAGACUCCUACGGGAGGCAGCAGUGGGGAAUAUUGCAAAAUGGGCGGAAGCAUGAUGCAGCAACGCCGCGUGCGGGAUGACGGCCUUCGGGUUGUAAACCGCUUUCGCCUGUGACGAAGCGUGAGUGACGGUAAUGGGUAAAGAAGCACCGGCUAACUACGU